CUGGCGGCGUGCCUAAUACAUGCAAGUCGAACGCUUCUUUCCUCCCGCAGUGCUUGCACUCAAUUGGAAAGAGGAGUGGCGGACGGGUGAGUAACACGUGGGUAACCUGCCCAUCACAGGGGGAUAACACUUGGAAACAGGUGCUAAUACCGCAUAACAGUUUAUGCCGCAUGGCAUAAGAGUGAAUCAGCGCGCUUUCGGGUGUCGCUGAUGGAUGGACCCGCGGUGCAUUAGCUAGCUUGGUGAGGUAACGGCUCACCAAGGCCACGAUGCAUAGCCGACCUGACGAGGGUGAUCGGCCACACUGGGACUGAGACACGGCCCAGACUCCUACGGGCAGGCACCAGCUCACGGGAAUCUUCGGCAAUGGACGACACGUCUGACCGAGCAACCGCCGCGUGCACGUGACACAAGGUCCCCGGAUCGUAACAACUCUUGUUCGUCACCAGAAGGAACCAGGACGUUCAGUACCUUGACACGGUCCCCUGCACGGUACUCUAAACCAGGAAAGCCCACGGCUAAACUUACCUGUUGGCCAAGCCCAGUCCUGCUGGUCAAUCACCCUAGCGUGGCAACCCCGUAUGUCCCGGACUUUCAUCGCGGCCCGUAACAGCGG
RNAcentral lists this ribosomal RNA (616 nucleotides) under uncultured low G+C Gram-positive bacterium. RNAcentral's name for it is "bacterial SSU rRNA". The stretch from base 4 to 398 matches the Rfam family "Bacterial small subunit ribosomal RNA", at positions 39 to 400 of the family's 1533-position model. The record is from RNAcentral. Lineage: Bacteria; Bacillati; Bacillota.